AUAUCAAUAAGCGGAGGAAAAGAAACUAACAAGGAUUCCCCUAGUAACGGCGAGCGAAGCGGGAAGAGCUCAAAUUUGAAAGCUGGCACUUGUGUCCGCGUUGUAAUCUCGAGACGUGUUUUCCGUGCGGCGCUAUGGACAAGUUCCUUGGAAUAGGACAUCGUAGAGGGUGAAAAUCCCGUACUUGCCAUGGAUGUACCGUGCUUUGUGAUACACGCUCUAAGAGUCGAGUAGUUUGGGAUUGCUGCUCAAAAGGGGUGGUAAACUCCAUCUAAAGCUAAAUAUCGGGGAGAGACCGAUAGCGAACAAGUACCGUGAGG
RNAcentral lists this ribosomal RNA (320 nucleotides) under Malassezia sp. Its description in RNAcentral is "partial large subunit ribosomal RNA". It matches the Rfam family "Eukaryotic large subunit ribosomal RNA", at positions 40 to 358 of the family's 3401-position model. The record is from RNAcentral. Lineage: Eukaryota; Fungi; Basidiomycota; Malasseziomycetes; Malasseziales; Malasseziaceae.